UACAGAGGUCUCAAGCGUUGUUCGGAUUCAUUGGGCGUAAAGGGUGCGUAGGCGGCGGGGCAAGUCGGAUGUGAAAUCCCGGGGCUCAACCCCGGAACUGCAUUCGAUACUGCCUUGCUCGAGUACUGGAGAGGAGAUUGGAAUUUACGGUGUAGCAGUGAAAUGCGUAGAUAUCGGAAGGAAGACCAGUGGCGAAGGCGAAUCUCUGGACAGUUACUGACGCUGAGGCGCGAAAGCGAGGGGAGCAAACGGG
This 253-nucleotide ribosomal RNA is filed under the name uncultured bacterium. Its description in RNAcentral is "partial 16S ribosomal RNA". It matches the Rfam family "Bacterial small subunit ribosomal RNA", at positions 524 to 776 of the family's 1533-position model. The record is from RNAcentral.